This 800-nucleotide long non-coding RNA is filed under the name Salmo salar (Atlantic salmon). RNAcentral describes it as "lncRNA (ENSSSAG00000090840.1)". Lineage: Eukaryota; Metazoa; Chordata; Actinopteri; Salmoniformes; Salmonidae. The record is from RNAcentral.
GAGAGAGAAAGAGGUGGAGAGAGAGAGAGAGAGAGAGAGAGAUCCUGUUAUGUGGCUACACUGUUUUGACGUAAAGGUACUGUAGAGAUAGUGAUGAUGAUGACACUGUGUUGCUGUACAGCUUGUUCUCCUGAUGUGACUCCCAGCCAGACUUCAGUAUCAGACACAAUGUCCCAGACUGUAUCAGACGUAUGUUGACUGAGAGAGAAAACAGUCUUUGACCUGCUGGACUUUUAGUAAAUACUGAGUGCGCUCAGGAAACAUGUCUGGAGCCAUCACAUGAAGACUUCCAAGAUGAUGUGAUGAAGUCCAGACUGACUCGAUACUGACGUCUCUGAACGGAGAAAGGCCUGGAUCAGGAACUCCUGCUGUACACGGUACACCACCCAGGAAGGUAUGACCACUGACAUGUUACCAUGGUAGCCCCAUUACCACCACCCAGGAAGGUAUGACCACUGACAUGUUACCAUGGUAACCUCAUUACCACCACCCAGGAAGGUAUGACCACUCUGACAUGUUACCAUGGUAACCCCAUUACCACCACCCAGGAAGGUAUGACCACUCUGACAUGUUACCAUGGUAACCCCAUUACCACCACCCAGGAAGGUAUGACCACUCUGACAUGUUACCAUGGUAACCCCAUUAAGGGUUAAGGUUAGGGUUAUCCCUGAGAUAGCCUCUAAGGGUUAAGGUUAGGGUUAUCCCUGAGAUACACUCUAAGGAUUAGGGUUAUCCCUGAGAGAGCCUCUAAGGGUUAGGGUUAUCCCUGAGAGCCUCUAAGGGUUAGGGUUAUCCCUGAG